RNAcentral lists this ribosomal RNA (700 nucleotides) under uncultured bacterium. RNAcentral describes it as "bacterial SSU rRNA". It matches the Rfam family "Bacterial small subunit ribosomal RNA", at positions 8 to 755 of the family's 1533-position model. The record is from RNAcentral.
AGAGUUUGAUCUGGCUCAGAACGAACGCUGGCGGCAGGCUUAACACAUGCAAGUCGAACGCACCCUUCGGGGUGAGUGGCAGACGGGUGAGUAACGCGUGGGAACCUACCCUUUAGUUCGGGACAACCGUUGGAAACGACGGCUAAUACCGGAUACGCCCUACGGGGGAAAGAUUUAUCGCUAAAGGAUGGGCCCGCGUCAGAUUAGCUAGUUGGUGAGGUAAAGGCUCACCAAGGCGACGAUCUGUAGCUGGUCUGAGAGGAUGAUCAGCCACACUGGGACUGAGACACGGCCCAGACUCCUACGGGAGGCAGCAGUGGGGAAUAUUGGACAAUGGGGGCAACCCUGAUCCAGCCAUGCCGCGUGAAUGAUGAAGGUCUUUGGAUUGUAAAAUUCUUUCGCUGGGGAAGAUAAUGACGGUACCCAGUAAAGAAGCUCCGGCUAACUCCGUGCCAGCAGCCGCGGUAAUACGGAGGGGGCUAGCGUUGUUCGGAAUUACUGGGCGUAAAGCGCGCGUAGGCGGAUUGUUAAGUCGGGGGUGAAAUCCCGGGGCCCAACCCCGGAAUUGCCCUCGAUACUGGCAGUCUUGAGCCCGGGAGAGGCGAGUGGAAUUCCGAGUGUAGAGGUGAGAUUCGUAGAUAUUCGGAGGAACACCAGUGGCGAAGGCGACUCGCUGGACCGGUGCUGACGCUGAGGCGCU